CCUACGGGAUGCAGCCGUGGGGGAUAUUGCACAAUGGGGGAAACCCUGAUGCAGCAACGCCGCGUGAGUGAAGAAGUAUUUCGGUAUGUAAAGCUCUAUCAGCAUGGCAGAGAAUGACUGUACCUGACUAAGAAGCCCCGGCUAACUACUUACCAUCAUCCGCGGUAAUCCGUAGGGCGCGAACGUUAUCCGGAUUUACUGGGUGUAAAGGCAGCGUAGCCGGCUGGUAAUGUCUGAGGGGAAAGCCAGGGGCUUAACCCCGGAACGGCUUUGGAAACUGAGGAGCUAGAGUGCUGGAGAGGUAAGCGGAAUUCUUAGUGUAGCGGUGAAAUGCGUAGAGAUUAGGAGGAACACCAGUGGCGAAGGCGGCUGACUGGACAGUAACGGACGUUGAGGCUCGAAAGCGUGGGGAGCAAACAGGAUGAGAUACCCGGGUAGUC
This 440-nucleotide ribosomal RNA is filed under the name uncultured bacterium. RNAcentral describes it as "partial 16S ribosomal RNA". It matches the Rfam family "Bacterial small subunit ribosomal RNA", at positions 338 to 795 of the family's 1533-position model. The record is from RNAcentral.